UACAGAGGGUGCAAGCGUUGUUCGGAAUUAUUGGGCGUAAAGCGCGUGUAGGCGGCUUAGCAAGUCGGGCGUGAAAGCCCUCGGCUCAACCGAGGAAGUGCACCCGAAACUGCUGAGCUUGAGUGCCGGAGAGGAUGGCGGAAUUCCCCAAGUAGAGGUGAAAUUCGUAGAUAUCGGGGAGGAACACCGGUGGCGAAGGCGGCGACCUGGGUAAAUACUGCGCUGAGGUGCGAAAGCGUGGGGAGCAAACAGG
RNAcentral lists this ribosomal RNA (253 nucleotides) under uncultured bacterium. RNAcentral's name for it is "partial 16S ribosomal RNA". It matches the Rfam family "Bacterial small subunit ribosomal RNA", at positions 524 to 776 of the family's 1533-position model. The record is from RNAcentral.